Long non-coding RNA from Rana temporaria (common frog), 1361 nucleotides. RefSeq lists it as uncharacterized. The record is from RefSeq and is a predicted model, not a curated record. NCBI's taxonomy places the organism in Eukaryota, Metazoa, Chordata, Amphibia, Anura, Ranidae. The transcript is spliced from 6 exons.
AAUAAAUAAUAAUAGUUUUUGUUUACAUUCACAAAUCCAAUAUCUACUACCACCGUUUGCAAGAAUGUUAUCAACCCAAGCUGGGGUUAGUUUGUUUAUUUUUCAUUCGUUUUUGGAGUAAUGUUUUGACUCCUUGGCUCUGAAAUUAAGCCACAAAAAAAAAAAGCUACCAUUCCAUAAAGAAACCUACUCCACAAUUCCACGGCUCGCAAUACUCCCACAAACACUGGGGCUCUCCUCCUACUGUGCUCUUGCUGCAGUGCAGACUGCUGCCACCUGCCCUCAAAGAAGAAAUAUUACAGUUCACGUUUGGAAGACAUCUCACCACACUAUGGAUUUAAUCCUGGUUAAGUAUGUUGCCUGUGGCACCCUUAAACACGUGAGUGGCUUAUCAAUUUUCCCCUACUCACCUUCCAUCAUUCCAUUAAUUAUUUCUUCUAAUUUAUAUCCCUCUCUCUUUUUUUGCAGUUGCAAUUUACUGACGUCAUGUCUCACAUGCAUGCCUAACAUUGGACCUGGAUGUGGAUGAGGAGGAAGCAAAUAGAAAAACACAUGAGGUUUUUUCAGCACUUCAUAGUUUUUUGACAUCGAAAUAAUUUCUUCUAUGCCAUUGUCAGUGUAUCACCUCCACACUUCCCAGAGCUACAAAUCUAAACUCAUGCUUUAUCUUGGCCCUGGUAUUUUGAUUCCAUUCUGACCACCAGGGAUCUGAAUGCUGCUCAGCUCCAUGCAAGAUAACAUAUUUAUCAGCAUAUGACACGCACAUUUAACUCCUGAAAAGCUUUCUGUUAAAGACGGAAGAAAGAGUGAAGAUAAUGUUGAAGAUAAAGUUCUUAAAGGGUCCCAGUAGGUUGCAGUUUGCGCAGUCCUCCUUGAUAUAUCAAUCCCCCUUCAAAUCACAGUGUCCCUUUCACAGUCACGUUCUAAAGAUCAUGCACUUACCCUGAGGAGGAGCAAUGGUCCUGCCAGAAGCCGAUGCUGGAGGGUCUUGAAUGCAGCUUUCUGUUAAAGACGGAAGAAAGAGUGAAGAGUCAAGCUCUAUGAUUUUGACCCCUGCUGCUGAAUCCAGGGACAUCCUCUGCCAGAAGGACAUCUCUUAGCUCCGCCUCCCACUCUCGCAACUUGAUAGGCUUUCCUCGGUUUUGUCCUAGUCGAAGCCUCUGCAUCUUCUUUGUAACCGUUGCCCGACAAUCAUAGAACCUGCAAAUGUACAUAAACAUUACAAUUACAUUAAUAAAAAAACAAAUACUUAGAUUAAUGUUUUUUGAAAACCACAUUUCUUUUCACAUUGUGAUGGUUAUAUGUAUACUGUUCAGCAUGUGGCUGUGACAAAUAAAUUUUUUGGUUACGUUGAACUGUUA